Molecule: ribosomal RNA, 253 nt
Filed under: uncultured bacterium
Lineage: Bacteria
Description: partial 16S ribosomal RNA
Rfam family: Bacterial small subunit ribosomal RNA
Source: RNAcentral
UACAGAGGUCUCAAGCGUUGUUCGGAUUCAUUGGGCGUAAAGGGUGCGUAGGUGGCGCUGUAAGUCAGGUGUGAAAUUUCGGAGCUUAACUCCGAAACUGCAUUUGAUACUGCGGUGCUCGAGGACUGGAGAGGAGACUGGAAUUUACGGUGUAGCAGUGAAAUGCGUAGAGAUCGUAAGGAAGACCAGUGGCGAAGGCGGGUCUCUGGACAGUUCCUGACACUGAGGCACAAAGGCCAGGGGAGCAAACGGG